Molecule: small RNA, 1697 nt
Filed under: Rattus norvegicus (Norway rat)
Lineage: Eukaryota; Metazoa; Chordata; Mammalia; Rodentia; Muridae
Description: uncharacterized LOC102546393
Source: RNAcentral
GGAGGAAGAAGAGGAAGAAGAAGAAGUAGAAGUCAUUAUGACCUCUGUGUACAGCACAGGGAGCUUCGACCUACUGCAGCCCCAACACUGCUUACGGAUUGAUGGAAGAAAACUGCAGCUCUGCGUUCGGAGGACAGCAGCAUCUCCCGUCACCCCUGGACACCUUCCAUUGCAGAGGCUUCUAACUUCCUGAGCAGUUAUGGAGUAAAGGAAUACCAGGCCCUGUGCAGAUCUGUCGUGAGCCUGAUUAUACAGCCCUCCUGGGAACCUGUCUUCUUGCUGCUUCAUAAAGGCUGGGGCUUCUCUCUUUGUUUCCCAUGUAGAGGUGGGGGCUUUGGGGCUGGCCCCUUCUCUGUGAAUUAUUUGCAACCUUUUCCUGCUCCCCUCACCCCACCUCCACCCUCCGUACUAUGACCCUGGGAAGCUGGGAGGGGCUGGAGGGGUGGAAACUGGGAUUCUUGGCAGCUCCUCGCUCCAGUGGUAUGAUCAGGUUGGCCAAGGUAGAGUACACCAGCUAUGAGCUCUACCUCCCUGGUGGUAGGUUUGGGGCUGAUAAGAACCCUGCUUCCUGCUGCUCUGCUCCCUAGAGCACUCCAGAGGCCCACUGUGCCCCUUAAUCCUGUUCUGCGUUUUCAGAUAGCUGCCGCUUCGUGACUAAAGGCCCUGAGGCAUUUCUUUCCUAAGGGGAAGCUGACUGGCACUGUUAAUGCCUCGCACACACACACCACACUGCCACCACCCCCUGGCUACUGUGUGUAGGCUGUCUGUGAAGUAUGAUAAAAAAAAAAUCAAUCAGAACCAAAGAUAAAGAUACAGGAGCAAAGAGGUUUUACUUGGAGAAAGUAGAAACAGAGCAACCUACACGUGUUGCCAUCCCCCUCUAAGAAGAAAACCAGCCAGCACUGGUACACCACGCUCUCCUAGAGCUGACCAGACCCAUCUUGAAGAAAGAUGAUGAGAACCAGGCACUGGGACAGCCAGCCUCAAGAUCUGGACCACAGGGACAUCCGCCAAUUCUGGAUUGCAGGUCACUCCAGAGGCCAAGAAGCAGCAGCACAGGGGUGAAGUCUGUGACCAGGAGCCUGAGAUCAGGGCAGCUCCCAGCCCCAUGCCCGACAUAUGGCCAACAGACACCUGGUUUUAGUCACACCCUGUAAAACCCAGCUGAGACUGAGGGAAACCUGCCACCAGUUCCUGGAUUAGAAGAGGGAAGGCUGUGAUGUCUAUCCAGUGGUUCUCCAUAUGAGCCUCAGGGUCUCUUCUUAAAGCCUGGGCUGGCUACAAAACAAUUCCCCUGCCUCAGUCCCUGAGUGUUGGCGUUAUAGAUAUUUGCUACCAUACUUGGCCUCAGAGAGGCCGCACGGCCCUUCGGGUCUCACCCUGACUAGACCGUGUCUUCGCUGUCUGGCUGUUCAAGGAUAAGCAAGGACAUUUCCUCAUGGGAGGCUCCUGCGACUUAAGGGAGCUGAGGCUCCAGACAAAACCAUCAGGGGUCUGAGGAAUCCACUGGGACUCGAUGGAUGAAUGAGCUGGCUCCUCCAACAUUUGUUUUGCAUAAAGGCCAUUAUUCAACUACACUUAAGAUGCAAGCCGUUCUUUACUCCCCCUGCUGUAGCUUUAAGACGAAUGGAAGAAAUAAUUGUUCUAACAGGCAUAUGAAUUAUGUGCUGAAACUUAAAUUUGAUUACUGCUUCAUA